UUGAAUGAAGCCUCUGGCAAGAGGGGUUGUAGCUGGCUUCCUUUAAGGGGGGGGGUAUGUGCACACCUGUCUGUCACUUGUUUCUUCAUUUCUCCACAUUGUGCACAUUUUGUAGGCAGCCUUGGUAAGGAUGUCUAUGUUUUAUAUAUAUAUGCAAUAUGCUUGUAAUGAAUGUUAUAAAAACAAUAAUA
RNAcentral lists this unclassified non-coding RNA (191 nucleotides) under uncultured Agaricales. Its description in RNAcentral is "sequence contains ITS1". Lineage: Eukaryota; Fungi; Basidiomycota; Agaricomycetes; Agaricales. The record is from RNAcentral.